CCUACGGGUGGCAGCAGUGGGGGAUAUUGCACAAUGGGGGAAACCCUGAUGCAGCGACGCCGCGUGAGUGAAGAAGGAUUUCGGUAUGUAAAGCUCUAUCAGCAGGGAAGAAAAUGACAGUACCUGACCAAGAAGCCCCGGCUAACUACGUGCCAGAAGCCGCGGGAAUACGUAGGGGGCAAGCUUUAUCCGGAUUUACUGGUGGAAAAGGGAGCGUAGACGGUUUGGUAAGUCUGGUGUGAAAGCCCGGGGCCCAACCCGGGGACUGCUUUGGAAACUGUGUAACGGGAGUACAGGAGGGGGGGGCGGAAUUGCGGGUGGAGCGGUGAAAUGCGUAGAGAUGGGGAGG
Molecule: ribosomal RNA, 349 nt
Filed under: uncultured bacterium
Lineage: Bacteria
Description: partial 16S ribosomal RNA
Rfam family: Bacterial small subunit ribosomal RNA
Source: RNAcentral